This 389-nucleotide ribosomal RNA is filed under the name uncultured eukaryote. RNAcentral describes it as "partial 18S ribosomal RNA". It matches the Rfam family "Eukaryotic small subunit ribosomal RNA", at positions 592 to 976 of the family's 1831-position model. The record is from RNAcentral.
CAGUAGCGUAUGUUAAAGUUGUUGCAGUUAAAAAGCUCGUAGUUGGACUUCUACGGAUUUUCGACAGGUCCCACGGACUUCGGUCUGAGGGUGACACUUUCGAAUCCGUUUUUUGCUGUGACCCUAUCUAUCUUUAAUUAGAUUGGAUAGUGUUGGAUCAGCUCUUUUACUUUGAGAAAAACAGUGUGCUCAAAGCAGGCGUUUCGCCUUGAAUAUGUUAGCAUGGGAUAAUACCAAAGACUGCGCAUCUACGUUGUUGGUUAUGGAUGUGAAGUAAUGAAUGAUGGGAACGGAUCGGGGGCCUCGGUAUUCUAGAGGGAGAGGUGAAAUUCUUGGAUCUCUGGAAGACCACCUGCUGCGAAAGCGUUGGCCAAGGAUGUCUCCGUCAA